This 1166-nucleotide ribosomal RNA is filed under the name uncultured bacterium. RNAcentral describes it as "bacterial SSU rRNA". The stretch from base 1 to 893 matches the Rfam family "Bacterial small subunit ribosomal RNA", at positions 586 to 1533 of the family's 1533-position model. The record is from RNAcentral.
AGUCAGAUGUGAACCCUCGGGCUCACCUGGGAACUGCAUUUGAAACUGGCAAGCUAGAGUCUCGUAGAGGGGGGUAGAAUUCCAGGUGUAGCGGUGAAAUGCGUAGAGAUCUGGAGGAAUACCGGUGGCGAAGGCGGCCCCCUGGACGAAGACUGACGCUCAGGUGCGAAAGCGUGGGGAGCAAACAGGAUUAGAUACCCUGGUAGUCCACGCUGUAAACGAUGUCGAUUUGGAGGUUGUGCCCUUGAGGCGUGGCUUCCGGAGCUAACGCGUUAAAUCGACCGCCUGGGGAGUACGGCCGCAAGGUUAAAACUCAAAUGAAUUGACGGGGGCCCGCACAAGCGGUGGAGCAUGUGGUUUAAUUCGAUGCAACGCGAAGAACCUUACCUACUCUUGACAUCCAGAGAACUUUCCAGAGAUGGAUUGGUGCCUUCGGGAACUCUGAGACAGGUGCUGCAUGGCUGUCGUCAGCUCGUGUUGUGAAAUGUUGGGUUAAGUCCCGCAACGAGCGCAACCCUUAUCCUUUGUUGCCAGCGGUUCGGCCGGGAACUCAAAGGAGACUGCCAGUGAUAAACUGGAGGAAGGUGGGGAUGACGUCAAGUCAUCAUGGCCCUUACGAGUAGGGCUACACACGUGCUACAAUGGCGUAUACAAAGAGAAGCGACCUCGCGAGAGCAAGCGGACCUCAUAAAGUACGUCCUAAUCCGGACUGGAGUCUGCAACUCGACUCCAUGAAGUCGGAAUCGCUAGUAAUCGUAGAUCAGAAUGGCUACGGGGAAUACUUUCCCGGGCCUUGUAAACCCCGCCCGUAAUCCCUAAUGAAUUCCCCGGCCGCCCUGCAGGUCCAACCCUUUGGGAAAAGCUCCCCACGCCUUGGAAGGCUUACUUUGAAUAUUCCAUAGUGGCCCCCUAAAUAACUUUGGGGGAAACCAGGGGCCUAACUUGUUUUCCUGGGGGGAAAUUGGUUUUCCCCCCCCCCCAUUUUCCCCCACACAUAACAAAACCCCGGAAAGCCAAAAGGGGGAAAAGCCCCGGGGGGGGCCCUAAAGGGGGGGAAACCAAACCCCCAAUUUAAUUGGGGGUUGGCCCCCCCCGGGCCCCCCUUUUUCCCCUGCGGGAAAACCCCUGUGCCGGGGCCCCCUCUGUUUUUUAAAGGAACUCCGCCC